Molecule: RNA transcript, 1175 nt
Organism: Triticum dicoccoides
Lineage: Eukaryota; Viridiplantae; Streptophyta; Magnoliopsida; Poales; Poaceae
Exons: 4
Source: RefSeq, a predicted model, not a curated record
AACAGCUCCUUACUCCGGCGACGUUUCGUUGGUGCUCAAUGCGGUUUCUAUGUUGGGGACGCCGCUCAACGCGCCUCCGCCCAUGCGGUUGCGGCCGGUCCAGGCGACGCCACCGGCAGAGUGAGACCGCCAGCCCCGCCUAUCCACGCGACGUUGCCGCUCCCCGCCGCCUCCCCACUCGACGCUGCCGCUCCCGACGCGCCUUCGCCCACGUGGUUGCGGCCGCCCCACAGGACACCACUGGCACGACGAGACCGCCGCCCCCCGCCGCCAGCCUCGCCUAUCAACGUGACGCUGCCACUCCCCACGCGCGGCUCUCUAGCGCCGGCUGUGUCCCACUACGGGGAAGAUGCACCCGACGCGGGAUCUGGAUGCGCUGGCUGCCGAGGUCGACCCUCAGCCACAAGCGCCUCGACGAGGACACUGAAAUCUCUCCUGUAACAUAGGCAAAAAUUCAAGUAUCAAAGGAACCUAUGGCUUUUGGUAUUCUGUUAGGAAAAUUCUCUUUUGUAAGAAGGCCAAAUCUUUUCCCAGGAUUUUGUGACCAUGGAUAGUACUGGAUAUUGAAGUAAAGGACAACUUACCGCUUCCGGCCACCCCACACACCGCAGAUUGCCCCGACAACUCAUCCCCACGCAAGAGCCGCCCUCGGCCGCAAGCGGAACAUCCCUCAAUACCAAGCGACUCGACGAGGACACGGAGGUCCUUUCAUGGGCGCAAAUGGCGAUAUGUGGAAUGCAUUCUUGCCAAGCUAAGUUGUUAUCUACAUCAAUGAAAAGUUCUUUGCGACGGUGCACAAGCGACACUGCUGCAGCGCUGCAUCCUCCUGUUGGACAAGCGACGUGGAGAGCUACUUCGAAUUGCAUGGAGAUGAACAAAAGGGACCAGUGAGAAAAGAUGAAGACAAGUGUUUCAGUUCAGCGAAAAAAGAUCAUAUAUGCUGGCUCGUUUUUCUUGUUCUCAUUUUGGCUCUGUAAACAAAGCUGGAUAUGUAUUAGGAUGUACCUGGUGGUGAGAGAACUUCUGCUUUCCUUCAUGUUGGCUGUAGGAGGUAGUUAGGCCUUUCUCUGAUGUGUGGUCGUCUGAACUGGAUGUACUGGCCGUUUUCUGCUUCAUUAUAUAAAAUGGGGCAGGGGGGAAACCCCUUUCUUUUUUUUAAAAAAGGGGAAAAUACA